AUUGAACGCUGGCGGCAUGCCUUACACAUGCAAGUCGAACGGCAGCGCGGGGCAACCUGGCGGCGAGUGGCGAACGGGUGAGUAAUAUAUCGGAACAUACCCUAGAGUGGGGAUAACGUAGCGAAAGUUACGCUAAUACCGCAUACGCACUAAGGUGGAAAGUGGGGGAUUCGCAAGAACCUCAUGCUCAUGGAGUGGCCGAUAUCUGAUUAGCUAGUUGGUGAGGUAAAGGCUCACCAAGGCGACGAUCAGUAGCUGGUUUGAGAGAACGACCAGCCACACUGGAACUGAGACACGGUCCAGACUCCUACGGGAGGCAGCAGUGGGGGAUUUUGGACAAUGGGGGGCAACCCUGAUCCAGCAAUGCCGCGUGAGUGAAG
This 380-nucleotide ribosomal RNA is filed under the name uncultured bacterium. RNAcentral describes it as "bacterial SSU rRNA". It matches the Rfam family "Bacterial small subunit ribosomal RNA", at positions 30 to 410 of the family's 1533-position model. The record is from RNAcentral.